Molecule: ribosomal RNA, 1443 nt
Filed under: Lactiplantibacillus plantarum
Lineage: Bacteria; Bacillati; Bacillota; Bacilli; Lactobacillales; Lactobacillaceae
Description: bacterial SSU rRNA
Rfam family: Bacterial small subunit ribosomal RNA
Source: RNAcentral
UACAUGCAAGUCGAACGAACUCUGGUAUUGAUUGGUGCUUGCAUCAUGAUUUACAUUUGAGUGAGUGGCGAACUGGUGAGUAACACGUGGGAAACCUGCCCAGAAGCGGGGGAUAACACCUGGAAACAGAUGCUAAUACCGCAUAACAACUUGGACCGCAUGGUCCGAGUUUGAAAGAUGGCUUCGGCUAUCACUUUUGGAUGGUCCCGCGGCGUAUUAGCUAGAUGGUGGGGUAACGGCUCACCAUGGCAAUGAUACGUAGCCGACCUGAGAGGGUAAUCGGCCACAUUGGGACUGAGACACGGCCCAAACUCCUACGGGAGGCAGCAGUAGGGAAUCUUCCACAAUGGACGAAAGUCUGAUGGAGCAACGCCGCGUGAGUGAAGAAGGGUUUCGGCUCGUAAAACUCUGUUGUUAAAGAAGAACAUAUCUGAGAGUAACUGUUCAGGUAUUGACGGUAUUUAACCAGAAAGCCACGGCUAACUACGUGCCAGCAGCCGCGGUAAUACGUAGGUGGCAAGCGUUGUCCGGAUUUAUUGGGCGUAAAGCGAGCGCAGGCGGUUUUUUAAGUCUGAUGUGAAAGCCUUCGGCUCAACCGAAGAAGUGCAUCGGAAACUGGGAAACUUGAGUGCAGAAGAGGACAGUGGAACUCCAUGUGUAGCGGUGAAAUGCGUAGAUAUAUGGAAGAACACCAGUGGCGAAGGCGGCUGUCUGGUCUGUAACUGACGCUGAGGCUCGAAAGUAUGGGUAGCAAACAGGAUUAGAUACCCUGGUAGUCCAUACCGUAAACGAUGAAUGCUAAGUGUUGGAGGGUUUCCGCCCUUCAGUGCUGCAGCUAACGCAUUAAGCAUUCCGCCUGGGGAGUACGGCCGCAAGGCUGAAACUCAAAGGAAUUGACGGGGGCCCGCACAAGCGGUGGAGCAUGUGGUUUAAUUCGAAGCUACGCGAAGAACCUUACCAGGUCUUGACAUACUAUGCAAAUCUAAGAGAUUAGACGUUCCCUUCGGGGACAUGGAUACAGGUGGUGCAUGGUUGUCGUCAGCUCGUGUCGUGAGAUGUUGGGUUAAGUCCCGCAACGAGCGCAACCCUUAUUAUCAGUUGCCAGCAUUAAGUUGGGCACUCUGGUGAGACUGCCGGUGACAAACCGGAGGAAGGUGGGGAUGACGUCAAAUCAUCAUGCCCCUUAUGACCUGGGCUACACACGUGCUACAAUGGAUGGUACAACGAGUUGCGAACUCGCGAGAGUAAGCUAAUCUCUUAAAGCCAUUCUCAGUUCGGAUUGUAGGCUGCAACUCGCCUACAUGAAGUCGGAAUCGCUAGUAAUCGCGGAUCAGCAUGCCGCGGUGAAUACGUUCCCGGGCCUUGUACACACCGCCCGUCACACCAUGAGAGUUUGUAACACCCAAAGUCGGUGGGGUAACCUUUUAGGAACCAGCCGCCUAA